This 259-nucleotide ribosomal RNA is filed under the name uncultured bacterium. RNAcentral describes it as "partial 16S ribosomal RNA". It matches the Rfam family "Bacterial small subunit ribosomal RNA", at positions 96 to 354 of the family's 1533-position model. The record is from RNAcentral.
UGGCGGACUGGUGAGUAACGCGUGAGGAACCUGCCUUUCGGAGGGGGACAACAGUUGGAAACGACUGCUAAUACCGCAUGACGUAUCGGGAUCGCAUGGUCUUGAUACCAAAGAUUUUAUCGCCGAAAGAUGGCCUCGCGUCUGAUUAGCUAGUUGGUGGGGUAACGGCCUACCAAGGCGACGAUCAGUAGCCGGACUGAGAGGUUGGCCGGCCACAUUGGGACUGAGACACGGCCCAAACUCCUACGGGAGGCAGCAG